Molecule: unclassified non-coding RNA, 445 nt
Filed under: Hevea brasiliensis (rubber tree)
Lineage: Eukaryota; Viridiplantae; Streptophyta; Magnoliopsida; Malpighiales; Euphorbiaceae
Source: RNAcentral
GGAUAAUCAAUAUAGUAAUCUGAGCCUUCUUUUUCAGCAUCAUCCUUUUCAUUUGGAAUAGCAAAGACAAUGUUCUUUCUGGCAAGGUUUCCAUUAUUACUGGCUACAUAAUGGGCAAUAUGUUCCCUAAAGCCAGGAAUUUUGAAAAAAGGUUGUGGAAUUGAGUACUUCCUGGAAAGGUUGGAAGAGCUAACAACCAAGAAUGAAGCAACUUGAAAUCCAUUAUUUGACAAUGCAGAAUGAUUGGUGAAUAUGGCAACAGAAGCUACACCACCCAACAUCUAGAGACAGAGGACAAUUGAAAAUCUUAGAAAGGAUUGGGUAUAACUGGAAAAAUGAAUGGGAAAGUAAGGAGAGAGAAGGGUAAUAAGGAGUGUGGAGGGCGCGUGCCAGAUUCAGUGUAGGAGAUGAAGAUUCUUCAGCCUAUCAUCAUUUCCUAUACGGC